Molecule: non-coding RNA, 27 nt
Filed under: Mus musculus (house mouse)
Lineage: Eukaryota; Metazoa; Chordata; Mammalia; Rodentia; Muridae
Source: RNAcentral
UGGAAUGGUUUCUUUUAUAAGAGUUGC